Long non-coding RNA from Eriocheir sinensis (Chinese mitten crab), 3584 nucleotides. RefSeq lists it as uncharacterized. The record is from RefSeq and is a predicted model, not a curated record. The transcript is spliced from 2 exons. NCBI's taxonomy places the organism in Eukaryota, Metazoa, Arthropoda, Malacostraca, Decapoda, Varunidae.
ACUCACCGAUGCACCUCAACAUUUAUACAUAAAACAAUACAACUUUUGUCCUAAUCUUUUAAAAUGCCCCUUGAUGAAUGCACAUAAUCAAAUGACGCAAAAAAAACAAAAAAAAACAUUCACGCUCUAAUAAAAGAAAGAACCGGCGAGGGAAGAGAGAAACAGCUCGCCCGGAGAACCAGUAAUGACACACACACACACACACACACACACACACAGACUGACUGGCGGCUCGCGGCUCACACACACCCAGUUGACAAGGCUUUCGUAGUGGUUGUUGUUUGUGUUUCCGUGAGUGGUUUUAUGAGCUUAGUGAUAGUUUGACAAGGCUUCAUAGAGGCUGUGGUGUGGGUGUUUCCAUGGGUGGUUUUAUGAGCCUAGUGAUAAUUUGACAAGGCUUCAUAUAGGCUGUGGUGUGGGUGUUUCCAUGGGUGGUUUUAUGAGCCUAGUGAUAGUUUGACAAGGCUUCAUAUAGGCUGUGGUGUGGGUGUUUCCAUGGGUGGUUUUAUGAGCCUAGUGAUAGUUUGACAAGGCUUCAUAUAGGCUGUGGUGUGGGUUUCCAUGGGUAGUUUUAUGAGCCUAGUGAUAGUUUGACAAGGCUUCAUAUAGGCUGUGGUGUGGGUAUUUCCAUGGGUGGUUUUAUGAGCCUAGUGAUAGUUUGACAAGGCUUCAUAUAGGCUGUGGUGUGGGUGUUUCCAUGGGUGGUUUUAUGAGCCUAGUGAUAGUUUGACAAGGUAUUUCUGCACCGCGAACGUCAAAAGCACUUAUGAGAACCCGACUAAUCUCCUUUGUGACCUUAAGAAAAAAUAUUAGUAAGAGCUGAAAGCAUCUAAGAAUCCGGACUUCGACUCCAUAACCCUUUUAAUAAUGAUGCAACUUCGAGCUGAGAAUAUGCCGUCUGGAUCGCUUAAUGAAGUCUGUCUCGACGCACUUUUUUAAACAAUAAUAAAAAAAAAAAAAGCCCGCUACUCGCUGCUCCUAUAAAAGAAUCAAAAGAGGUUGCCGAAAGAGAGGUCAAUUUGAUGAGAACAGAAGGCGUUUGAUUUCCCCUAACAAAAUCUCCGCGCCAACACGUUAUAAUCAAAUUCCAUGAUCUACUUAACCUCUAUAUGGAAGGGGACAAGAACUCUCUUCCUCGUACCGGUAACACCUCUAUCAUAUGCGUGUUUAAAGAGAUCAUUUCCCUGUAUUUAAUUUCAUAUCUUAACCCGUCCGCUGCGAAUGGCACGGAUUUGUCCUUCACUGGUAGCCUGGUAACAUACACUCCCAGGUCUUUCUCUGCCUCUGUGCAUGGUGGAUAUAGCGGAGUGUUUCCCAUGUGGUAUUGGUGUGCUGGAUAUCCCCUCUCAAGGUGCAGGACUUUACAUUUUUCUUCAUUGAAUUGUAGCAGCCACUGUUUGUUCCAUUCCUGUCGCUUGGUGAUGUCUUCUGGUAGGAAAUUCGCAGUCAAGGGGUUAAGAGUGAGCGACAGAUUAGGGUCAUCAGGGAGAGAGACAAGCAAAGGAGAGGAAGGAAACAGAACGAGGCGAGUGUACAGAGUUUCUCGGUCACACGAAUACGGUCAGAGCAAUAAGAUAGACAAACAGGACAUGUGGCAUUAGUUAAGCGACCAACACACGCCUUCAGAGCAACAAGAAAAAGCAGAGACGUGAUAAUACAUAGACGACGAACACGAAGAUAGAGGAAUGGAAAGAAAGCAUUGCGAGUUAAGAGACGUGACAUGCGAGACGUUCUUAGAGAGAUGUGACAGUCAUUAAAGGGCAAACGCGAAGUCGGAGGAAGAAGAUAGACAACACAAAGCAAGUAUUCAGAAAUGUGACUUUACUUAACGACAAUCACGAAGAGUCUGAGGAAUUAAGAAAAACACACAAAGCAAAGCAAGUUAAUAUUGUGAUAAAUGAAUAAAAAAAGACAAAACAAAGCAAAUAUUCAGAGAUGUAACUUACUUAACGACCAACACGAACAGUCAGAGCAAUUAAGAAAGACAGACAAAGGAAAGCAAGCCGUGAAACAGACAAAACAAAGCGAGUAUUCAGAGAUGUAACUUACUUAACGACCAACACGAACAGUCAGAGCAAUUAAGAAAGACAGACAAAGGAAAGCAAGCCGUGAAACAGACAAAACAAAGCGAGUAUUCAGAGAUGUGACUUAAUUAACGACCAACAUGUAUAGAUAGUGGAAUAAAGAAAGACAGGCAAAUCAAAGCAAGGCGUGUCAGAGGAAUGAGACAGACAGACAAGAGAUUACCUGACAUAUCCAAGUAAAUAUUCAGCUUCCUACGUGUAUAUUAGGACCAUGAAUUCAACUCCAAACUCUCACUAAACAAAACAAGACGAAUUUAAAGGAACCUAAAGAAACCUACCAUUAUAUAAACAACAAACAAACACUCACAGUCACAAACACACCAGAACAUAACAUUUCCAAGCAAACAUUCAGCAUCCAACUGGCUUAUAUCAGGACCGUGAAUGCAACUCGGAAAUCAAGCUUAGCAAUCAGACCCAAUCACAAGAUCUCCCACGACACAGCAGAUUGAGGGGCGAGCAUCCUUCUGGCGGCGUUGGAGACAGACACAGAAAGACAGACGGAUGAGGAAACAGACGGACGAACGAGGAGGCAAAUAGACAGGCGAACAAACAGACAGGUGAUCAAGCAAACAGACACAGACAGACAGACGAAGAGGCAAACAGAGAUGUGACUUUACUUAGAGAAAAGGCGAACAGGGAAACAGACAGACAGGGGAAGAGACAAACAGACAGGCGAACAGAUAAUUAGACACCCAGACAGAGACAAAGAGACAGGCAAACAGACAGAAGAAGGCAAAGAAGAAGAACAAGAACAAGAAGAACGGAAAACGAGAAGAGGAAGACAGCAGAAAGCGAGAAAGAGGGAAAAGGAGGAAGAGGAAGAGGAACAGAAGGAAAACAGACAGACAACCAGACAGACAGACAGACAGACAUGAACUAGUGGCUCUUGAGACGGGGACAGGCGGGAGCAAUCAGAAAGUCGUUGGCGGGAAAUUGGGACGGUCUCAAAAGCCGAAAACCAGAUGAAAGGAACCAAGGAGGACCAUGCGAGGGUUUCUAUUUUGAGGGGGGAGGGGGGUCGUUUUUUUUAGUUUUUUUUUUUAUUUCACUUCUUCGUGGCAAGUACGACAACAACGACGCCAGUAACGACCAGCCACUGUGGGGAUAAUGGGAUAUGUUGCUCUCUCUCUCUCUCUCUCUCUCUCUCUCUCUCUCUCUCUCUCUCUCUCUCUCUCUCUCUCUCUCUCUCUCUCUCUCUCUCUCUCUCUCUCUCUCUCUCUCUCUCUCUCUCUCUCUCUCUCUCUCGCUCUCUCUCUCUCUCUCUCUCUCUCUCUCUCUCUCUCUCUCUCUCUCUCUCUCUCUCUCUCUCUCUCUCUCUCUCUCUCUCUCUCUCUCUCAUAAUUAUGUCUACAAACUUAUGAAUCACACAACCUCAGAUGAUUCUUAAUUAAUUCAACUUUACAAACACACACACACACACACACACACACACACACACACACACACACACACACACACACACACACACACACACACACACACACACACACAAAUCCAUAA